AAAGAUCUUAGCAGUUCCCCAGCAAUUACUCAUUUCAUCAAUCCUCUAUAUUUAAGGAGAUAAAAAGCCCCUCCAGUGUUGUUUCCUGCAAAGACCAUUCUUAAGAGCUCGUUGGACAGCGCAGGGCUCUUGAAGUGAUAGCUAAUUGGUGAAAGAAAGGCCCCGAUUGUCUGGAGGGAGCUGGAAAGUGCUGCGUGUGCUGCUGAAAGGGACUAGGGAGAAGGUGCCUGGUUUCGCUGAGCAGCUGCUGCUGGAGAUGUUUGGAGAUUACAUCAGCAUUGGAAAAAAGGGGCAAAAAAAAAAAAAAAAAAAGUCCAACUUCACAGAGACGGAGUUUAUGGAGUUUUUUUUCCCCUUCCAAAGGUCUUCUGACAAUACUGUCAUUGUCAAUAUAAGAGUUGUUAAUUCUUCAUGAAUAGCACAUGGGGCCUCUUGACUAAAUGGUACGUUACAUGUCCCAAAUCUGUCAGCUGGGCUCUUCUCUCACAUGCUAGUGAGAUCACUUUGAUUGGAAUGUUACAGGAAUUGCUGGGCUGGCCGUGCAGAAUUGAAUGCUGCAUUAUAUAAUUAGAUCUCCCGGAGUAUUUUUUUGGCGUUACCUCAUUAUUCUAGCUUAAAUAUGGAAUCAGUUCUUUUGAUGACUUUACUGGUUGUAAUUAUAUUAAUACGAUUCGUUUUAUGGUCCUGUCUUAGUGCUUAUAUAGAUUACAAACUGUCUCGAAGGUUUCCUGACAGUAAAAAAGAGCUCUAAAAGAGCUCAAAAGGCUUCUUCAGAUUUCAGCUGACAACAAGGACAACUGGAUGAGGUAAAUGGACCCAGAGCAGAUUUUACUUUGGCCUCUGAGGAGAGAGCAAUGGCCGGUUGAGACUGCAACUCAGUGAAGGUCCUUCAGAAGGCCUCAUGCUGACAGAGAGGGAAUAGAAACCACAACAACUGAUUGAGUCAAACGACUUCCUAUCAGACUGGAGCAAGAAUUUGUUGUUGGGAACAGGGUUGUGGACGUUUGCCAGUUAAACGAUCUGGACAAGCUGGAAGGAAUCCUAUUGUUGGGCAGUCCAAGGCUGUCAGUGGCCCAGUCUUGCUACGUGAAAUGUGAUGGCCCAUUGCCUGCUGGACAAGCUGCUGGUCUGCACGUUAGGAUGUCAGCUGCACACCCUGCCUGGAUGCAACAACGGACUGUGCCUGAAUGAACAUGGAGAUUACUAACCCAGCUCUGGAUCCACAUCUAAUGCUGCUGAUUUGCAGAGUGGAUUUGUACAUGAUUGACUUGUUGCUAAAUUCCUCUUGUGGUUUCUAUCAGUCAGUCAGAUCAGAAGCUGGUUAUAACCCAAUGAUCGCCUUUCCUGUCAGACGGUAUAUCUGAGUAACAGAAGUGGUUGGACACCACUGGGUUAGUCUGUUCCAUGAAAAACAGAUCUGUGUGUUAUAGUUUGUCGGACAGAUUCCAGCUCUGCUUCAGCAGUGCUGGGCGUUGGGGCACAUGACAGUGCUUAGAGGCCUCGCAAAGUAAUUUCUCUUCUAGUCUUUAGUAAGGAGCUACCAGGACAUGGAAAGCCUUGACUACUCACCCAAGGCAGGAGUGACAGGAGAUUUUUCGCUUAAUCUUGCAAAGUGAGACAGGGGGCUCCAAGCUAACUGUCUGCUUUCAGAUGGAUGCUAUACUGAGUCAAACUGCAAAAAAUCUUGCUGCGUGUGCAACGCAAUUUAACAUCUGCUUUUAAAAACUUGGUUUUCCUACAGCAAAAGUAGGAAAAUUGUACUGCUUUGCCUGAGAAAGAAAGCUGAAAUGUGGCGUUGUUGGCCCAGUCCUAUCUGGUGUUCUUUAUGUCAUGCAGAAGUGAAGGCUGCCACUUUGAGAAAUGGCUUCAAAAAUCUUGGUAGCUCACGUAACACCAGAAUUCAGCCUAGGUGAAAGCCCAAAGCAUUCCCAUGAAAAGUUUUUGGCCAUUCAUGACUCUUAUAGGCUUGUUCAUUAGUAACUAUUGAUGUUUAUCACUUUGUCAUUUGAAGCCUCCUAACAUUCAGACGUGAGAUAUAGUAUGUAUUCAUACAGUUGAACAGAAUAAAUGUCAGACUGAUUGAUUUCAGUCUCAGGCUUUAUUUGUGAUAGAUGACCAAUCUACAAAACUGUUUGCAGUGUCUGAAAAUGCAUGCUAUUGACUUGAAAUCCAGCUAGUAAAUAAAUUAAAUGUAGAUGCAACUAAUGCCCUUGUCUGUCUAUGUGGGUCCUAAUUUUAGUGAUGAUUCUUAUAUUUAUUUAUUUUUGUUUCCCAGUACCAGUAGACCACAAAGGGAAAAUGAAAUGUCUAUUUGCUGUGCAAACAUAGCUCUGAUAAUAAGUAACUGGAAAAAUAGGCACAGCAAUCCAUUUUCUGUCAGUUAAACAUCGCUAUUCUUAGCUGUUGUACAUCACUGUGAAGAAAAUUAAACUUGUAGAGAAAUUCAUAGUGCUUUUAAAAGCAAGUCUUCUAAUCCAUUCUUUUGAUUAUAUUGAAGUGAUACUUAAAAGUGUCAUACUCAUAUUAAUCAUUUAAAAACGUGAAUGUAACGAGACAUGUGGACUAAUGUCUUUAUCAUUUGGUGAAAUAAGGAGCUGACAUUAGUGUGGAACUCGCAUCUUUGAUCCCUUUAUUCCCACAGAGUAGAAUCUUGAAUUUUCCAUGUGAAUUGGAGACCGUGGUCUUGUUAUAGACCAUAAUCUUAUGUAGGCCAAGUCUUCAUUGAUUUCUGUGGCACCAUUAGUAGGAAUGGCAGGAUGGAAUCAUUAGAACAUUUCAUGUUUGAGUUGCCAUAGCCAGUCUCCUUCAAUGGCUUGCUAUUGGUGUGUGGGGAAAGUGAACUUACUGACGGGUAGAUGUAAGGCAUAGUAGGUAUUUAUCCUGUAGGUGAUCACUGUCAUGAAACUCAGCACAGCCAGAUAUGGGAACAGCCUGUCAAUUCACUGGUUCUGUUUGUGUUUGUCUUUUUAAAUUGUUUAAUUUACCCAAGAUAUGAGAACUUCACUGAUUAUGUUAUGGUCAGUGUUUGUCAUAGUGUUGAUCUUCAUCCUACACAGGUAAAACUGUCUGGAACCCUAAAGAGUUUACUAGAACAUCAAAGCUUUGAGGCACAUAUGAUUAAUAAAGUAAAUAUUUUCUCUUAAUAAAAAAUUUACUGAUUUAAUGUGGUUGUUUUGUAAUCCGUGUGCACUGAAUGUAAUUUUAAUGCUUUGAAGUUCCUCUUCUGUUGUCUGAAAGCCCAUUGUAUCUUUCUGCUGAUGAGGGUUGUUGUGACAGAACUUAUGGUGUCCUCUAAUUUAACCAUCUGUCCAAGCUAGAUUGUCAGUACGCUUACAAGUUAGUUUCUCUUUACAUGAAAGUGCAGCAGAAGAAAAUGUUAGUGAAUAAAUCCUUUGUAUCAUGUACUUGUACUUUAUUUAAGAUCUACCCUGAAGCCAUAUUUCAGUGGGAGUUGAAUGAACUUGACUGGAAACCACUCUAGAAUCUUUUAAAAUUGAUUUAAUUUCAGCUAGGUACUUAAGGAGAUUCUUAUGCCCUACUGUUUUUGCUUGUGUUUAAGGAUAUUGUUAAAAAUAAGUCUGUGCUUAAGAGCAGUUUUGAGCCAUGGACAGAGUGAAUGAAGACUGCAGUGUGGAACCCCCUUUUCAAGACAUGAAAUAAAGGUAUAGGUAAAGAAAUAGAAAAAAUAUCACUUAAUGCUGUGAUGAUAUACUGCAUCAGGUACUGUGUAACCAUUGUAACCAACAACUAAUAUUGGCCUUUUGCAGCAAUACAAAAAACAGAUGUGAUCACAGAAGCUUAUAUGCUAC
RNAcentral lists this long non-coding RNA (3809 nucleotides) under Gallus gallus (chicken). The record is from RNAcentral. Lineage: Eukaryota; Metazoa; Chordata; Aves; Galliformes; Phasianidae.